This 397-nucleotide ribosomal RNA is filed under the name uncultured bacterium. Its description in RNAcentral is "partial 16S ribosomal RNA". It matches the Rfam family "Bacterial small subunit ribosomal RNA", at positions 523 to 918 of the family's 1533-position model. The record is from RNAcentral.
AUACGUAGGGGGCGAGCGUUGUCCGGAAUGAUUGGGCGUAAAGGGCGCGUAGGCGGCCUGUUAAGUCUGGAGUGAAAGUCCUGUUUUCAAGAUGGGAAUUGCUUUGGAUACUGAUGGGCUUGAGUGCAGGAGAGGUUAUCGGAAUUCCCGGUGUAGCGGAUAAAUGCGUAGAGAUCGGGAGGAACACCAGUGGCGAAGGCGGGUAACUGGACUGCAACUGACGCUGAGGCGCGAAAGUGUGGGGAGCAAACAGGAUUAGAUACCCUGGUAGUCCACACUGUAAACGAUGAAUGCUAGGUGUAAGAGGUAUCGACCCCUUUUGUGCCGGAGUUAACACAAUAAGCAUUCCGCCUGGGGAGUACGGCCGCAAGGUUGAAACUCAAAUGAAUUGGCGGGG